CGCAGAUCAGGAAAGAUAAAAGACAAAGUGGAGGCGGAAAAUAAACGGAGCAAAGACAUGAGACGCUCAGCCGACUUUCAUGUAAUCUACUCCUGCACGGGCAGAAUGGAAGAGAAGCGGAGAAAGGCCGGGGGGAUGACGAGCUGUUUUUGUGCGAGGCAUCGGCCUUGAAGGCGUUUGUGUGGAAAUAAAAGCGCGGGCCGCUUUCGGGCUGAGGACUGAGACGGGACACAGGAGCCGUGUGUUCAGCCGCUGAAUGCGUCUCCUCGGGGAGUCGCGUCUGCUCCCGCUCCUUUCACGUUUAUCAAGGUCAAAUCUCAGGCGUCUCGUACUUUGAUGGCUGCCGAUGAGCCCGUGGGCAAGGCACUCAUUGUGUGGCUGUGAAAGGACGUGAGAUCGGACCCAGACUGGACACUUGAAACGCUUUAAAGCACAUGACCGCCUGCAGCUACACGAGAGAGACGACCUCUUCUCUUCAGCACAAAGGAAUCCACCCAAACAUCAUCAUCAUCAUCAUAAACGCUGCUGUGUUGUAUUUACAAUAAUGCUCCGCAUUGAGCUGCUCCUCCUCCGUCCUCUGCAGCCUCUGCACAGCGUUCCUGCUACCCGGGCUGAUUAGCGCUGAUUGUGAAUGGAGCCCAAAUGCCCUGUGUGCGUCCAAAUUGCAUAAUUGCACGACUCCUCGUUGGCUCGCUAAUCACAGGGAAGCCCAGAGCAAACACUUCCACCUCAGUGCUUCAGCUACACAACAAUCAGAAGGUCUUGAGUUAAGAGGCCUUUUGAUCCAAAUGAUGUUAUUAAUCAGCACCCAGAGGAGAGGAAACACUGAUGACCUUCAUAAUGAGGGGGCUGGAGUCAGCGUGCCCAAUUCACCGCUCCUCUACCAGGCUGGCGCUUGUUCUUUUCUCUUCACUCCCUCCUUUUUUAAUUCUUAUUUCAUUAUUUUUAUCAUAUUAUUUUCAUUCUUAUUAUCAUUGUUGAUAUUAUGACUUGUGUUCUUCUUUUUCCAUUUUCAUGGGCUGUUACUCUUAUAAGUGGUUCCUACGGUACGUCUCAGAACCUCUGAUCCCAGCAUUUUGUCGGCUAACCUGUUUGAUUGCUCCCUCUGAAUACUGAUAGUGAAUUAACAUGUGGUUCGGUUCCUUUGGCGCUGCUGUUUAUCUGCAACCUUUGUGCUUGUGUCAGUGCUGGAUGAAAGAGAUUUGCAGCCUCGGUGGGACAGCGGGGCCGAAGGAAGGAAAAUCUAAAUGUAGGUGGAAAACUCUGCCUGAAGGCUCGAGGCUUGAAUAGAGGCAUGUCUAAAGCACACACACACACACACACACACACACACACACACACACACACACACACACACACACACACACACACACACACACGUGUUCUGGUGGCGUCCUUUACCACAACACAAGUGUAAUCUGCCACAACAAAAGGAGAUAAUGUGGUCUCCUGAUCCUCCUCUGGCCAGGCUCCUGGUCGCUACACCGUUUCCAUGGAAACAGAGCAGGACCAGGUGACGGAGGCUGGCCACUAAAACAGACCACAGUGACCCGCCCAAAAACAAAACGCCGGGCACGGAGCGAGAUUGGGGUUUGAAACUUGUCCAGGGCGAGAGGACGUGGCGCCGGCGCCGGUGCAGCUCGUCUCAGGCAGGCGGAGGGUCAGCGUCCGACCCCACCAACCCAGCACACAGGAGGGAUGCUGUGGAGAGGCCUGCUGCCACAAACACACUCACACAAGGAAAAGUCGCACGCUGCAGCUGGCGGAGCAGCAGCGUGACCUGAGACACGUUUUAACCACUGCUGAGCAACUGGAAUAAAAUACGCAGCAUUAUAUUUGCUCCGACA
Molecule: long non-coding RNA, 1847 nt
Organism: Betta splendens (Siamese fighting fish)
Lineage: Eukaryota; Metazoa; Chordata; Actinopteri; Anabantiformes; Osphronemidae
Source: Ensembl